RNAcentral lists this ribosomal RNA (253 nucleotides) under uncultured bacterium. RNAcentral describes it as "partial 16S ribosomal RNA". It matches the Rfam family "Bacterial small subunit ribosomal RNA", at positions 524 to 776 of the family's 1533-position model. The record is from RNAcentral.
UACGUAGGCAGCAAGCGUUGUUCGGAAUUACUGGGCGUAAAGAGUGUGUAGGCGGUGUUCUAAGUCUGUUGUGAAAUCUCCCGGCUUAACUGGGAGGGUGCGGCGGAAACUGGAAUGCUAGAGGAUGGGAGAGGUAAGCGGAAUUCCUGGUGUAGCGGUGAAAUGCGUAGAUAUCAGGAGGAACACCUGUGGCGAAAGCGGCUCACUGGACCACAACUGACGCUGAGGCGCGAAAGCUAGGGGAGCAAACAGG